AGACGCGUGGGCAAUCUGCCCCGUACCGGGGGAUAACACCUGGAAACAGGUGCUAACACCGCAUGACAGGCGGGGGCGCAUGCCCCGGCCUUGAAAACUCCGGUGGUACGGGAUGAGCCCGCGUCCGAUUAGCCAGUUGGCGGGGUAACGGCCCACCAAAGCGACGAUCGGUAGCCGGCCUGAGAGGGUGGACGGCCACAUUGGGACUGAGACACGGCCCAAACUCCUACGGAAGGCAGCAG
RNAcentral lists this ribosomal RNA (242 nucleotides) under uncultured bacterium. Its description in RNAcentral is "partial 16S ribosomal RNA". It matches the Rfam family "Bacterial small subunit ribosomal RNA", at positions 111 to 354 of the family's 1533-position model. The record is from RNAcentral.